AUGGAGCCGAACCUGAUACCGUGGAAAAACCUCUGUUAUUUCUAAGGAGCCUGACACUAGUGGAGAAAUGGUUGGGAAAAAAACAUAAACAACGUCUGGGAGAAGGAUGAUAUAUGCAGAAGAAGAGGGAGGCUGAAUCCUGGAAUCAAUUAGGGAGAAGGCUGGCUGGUUGGCUCGGCCGUGCAGGCGUUUGGCAUCGCAAGGCUAUCAGAUCCGAGACUGACAUCCAGGAUGCAGGAAAAGAGAAGACGGCCAAACCAGCCAGUGGUCUCAUGUGGAGGGCUUAGGAGGGAGCCCCCAGUAAACAGUUGUUCCUGUCUCCCUCUCUGGAGCCCCCGCCUAGCCUCCCCUUUCUCUUGGAUGUGCUUGAUAUGCUGCUCAUGUCUGUGGGAUCCUGGGUGUUUUUUUUUCUUGCAGAGUAGCCUGGUGGACCUGGACCUAUCUCUCUCACGUUAUUCUACCAUAGUGGCCUGGAGCCACUGAGUCACAGCCCCGGCCUUCCUUCCUGUCUCAGCUGUGGGCCAAGCCUCCAGUGCAGGAUGGGAGAUAACCCGCUAAUCGCCGGGCCCAGUCCUCUUCAGGACGAUAACCCUCUCUGCAUUCUAUCUUGUGUCUGCCAUUAAGGUUUAAAUGUCCCUCUGACGCGUGUGUCUAUCUUGGUGGCGCACACGUCUCCACCUCUUUUCGCUCACGAAGAACACAGUGUUUUUUUAUUAUCUUCUUCAUGUCUUCGCUGUAAUUUAUAAUCAAGUAAUCGAGCAGGUCAGUAAUUGAGUUAAACACGGUGAA
Molecule: long non-coding RNA, 789 nt
Organism: Limanda limanda (common dab)
Lineage: Eukaryota; Metazoa; Chordata; Actinopteri; Pleuronectiformes; Pleuronectidae
Exons: 3
Source: RefSeq, a predicted model, not a curated record